This is a non-coding RNA of Bactrocera oleae (olive fruit fly), 298 nucleotides long. The record is from RefSeq and is a predicted model, not a curated record. NCBI's taxonomy places the organism in Eukaryota, Metazoa, Arthropoda, Insecta, Diptera, Tephritidae.
UAUAAAAUAUUAUAUACAAGUUAACACGGGUAAUCAAUCAUCCGGCCAAAAUAUCACUUCAACGUAAUCAAAUAUCGCUUCAACGUAAUCUGCUGACGGCGCGUCUACAGUUUUGCACAUAACACCAAAGAAAAGUUCAGUACUGCAAUAAUAACGCUUCCGGCCAUAUUGCUGAUCGAACACUUAUAGUCUUGCGCGAGACAACAAUAAACCAAAUACAAGACAAUAAGCGGAAUUGGUUCACGCGGCAAAUAACGUGCAGCAACUAAAGUUAGCAAGCAGUGUAGGUAUUUAGACG